GACGAACGCUGGCGGCGGGCUUAACACAUGCAAGUCGAACGGAAAGGCCCUGCUUUUGUGGGGUGCUCGAGUGGCGAACGGGUGAGUAACACGUGAGUAACCUGCCCUUGACUUUGGGAUAACUUCAGGAAACUGGGCUUAAGCCCGGAUAGCAUCCCCUCUUCCGGGGUGGGGUUGGGAAAUUUUGGCCGGGUGGGGUUGAAUGCGCGGCUGACGAGCUUGUUGGUGGGGUAGUGGCUUACCAAGCCUUGGACGGGUAGCCGGCACGAGAGGGUGACCGGCCACAUUGGGACUGAGAUACGGCCCAGACUCCUACGGGAGGCAGCAGUGGGGAAUAUUGCACAAUGGGCGGAAGCCUGAUGCAGCAACGCCGCGUGCGGGAUGACGGCCUUCGGGUUGUAAACCGCUUUCGCCUGUGACGAAGCGUGAGUGACGGUAAUGGGUAAAGAAGCACCGGCUAACUACGUG
This 468-nucleotide ribosomal RNA is filed under the name uncultured bacterium. RNAcentral's name for it is "partial 16S ribosomal RNA". It matches the Rfam family "Bacterial small subunit ribosomal RNA", at positions 28 to 507 of the family's 1533-position model. The record is from RNAcentral.